RNAcentral lists this ribosomal RNA (381 nucleotides) under uncultured bacterium. RNAcentral describes it as "bacterial SSU rRNA". It matches the Rfam family "Bacterial small subunit ribosomal RNA", at positions 29 to 417 of the family's 1533-position model. The record is from RNAcentral.
AUUGAACGCUGGCGGCAUGCCUUACACAUGCAAGUCGAACGGUAACGCGGGCAACCUGGCGACGAGUGGCGAACGGGUGAGUAAUGCAUCGGAACGUGCCUGGUAGUGGGGGAUAACUGUUCGAAAGAACAGCUAAUACCGCAUACGACCUGAGGGUGAAAGGGGGGGAUCGCAAGACCUCUCGCUAUCAGAGCGGCCGAUGUCGGAUUAGCUAGUUGGUGGGGUAAAGCCGCCAAGGCAACGAUCCGUAGCUGGUCUGAGAGGACGACCAGCCACACUGGGACUGAGACACGGCCCAGACUCCUACGGGAGGCAGCAGUGGGGAAUUUGGACAAUGGACGCAAGUCUGAUCCAGCCAUGCCGCGUGCGGGAAGAAGGCCU